GCCACUGUGGCUCAGCGGUAGAGCAUCGGUUUCGUAAACCGGUGGCCGGGGGUUCGAAUCCCUCCAGUGGCUCCA
RNAcentral lists this transfer RNA (75 nucleotides) under Methanomethylophilus sp. RNAcentral's name for it is "tRNA-Thr". It matches the Rfam family "tRNA". Rfam says of the family: Transfer RNA (tRNA) molecules are approximately 80 nucleotides in length. Lineage: Archaea; Methanobacteriati; Thermoplasmatota; Thermoplasmata; Methanomassiliicoccales; Methanomethylophilaceae. RNAcentral also lists the same sequence under 1 other name. The record is from RNAcentral.